GUGGGGAAUCUUGCGCAAUGGGCGAAAGCCUGACGCAGCCAUGCCGCGUGAAUGAUGAAGGUCUUAGGAUUGUAAAAUUCUUUCACCGGGGACGAUAAUGACGGUACCCGGAGAAGAAGCUCCGGCUACUUCGUGCCAGCAGCCGCGGUAAUACGAAGGGGGCUAGCGUUGCUCGGAAUUACUGGGCGUAAAGGGCGCGUAGGCGGACAGCUUAGUCAGAGGUGAAAGCCCAGGGCUCAACCUUGGAAUUGCCUUUGAUACUGGCUGUCUUGAGUUUGGGAGAGGUGAGUGGAAUUCCGAGUGUAGAGGUGAAAUUCGUAGAUAUUCGGAGGAACACCAGUGGCGAAGGCGGCUCACUGGCUCGAUACUGACGCUGAGGUGCGAAAGCGUGGGGAGCAAACAGGAUUAGAAACCCCUGUAGUCC
RNAcentral lists this ribosomal RNA (424 nucleotides) under uncultured bacterium. Its description in RNAcentral is "partial 16S ribosomal RNA". It matches the Rfam family "Bacterial small subunit ribosomal RNA", at positions 354 to 796 of the family's 1533-position model. The record is from RNAcentral.